This 595-nucleotide ribosomal RNA is filed under the name uncultured bacterium. RNAcentral describes it as "bacterial SSU rRNA". It matches the Rfam family "Bacterial small subunit ribosomal RNA", at positions 262 to 858 of the family's 1533-position model. The record is from RNAcentral.
GGCUCACCAAGGCAUCGAUGGGUAUGGGGUCUUAAAGGAUGGUCCCACACACUGGCACUGAGACACGGGCCAGACUCCUACGGGAGGCAGCAGUGAGGAAUAUUGGUCAAUGGGUGAGAGCCUGAACCAGCCAUCCCGCGUGCAGGAUGACGGUCCUAGUGAUUGUAAACUGCUUUUCUAUGAGAUGAAUAAGAAUUACGUGUAGUUCGAUGACCGUAUUAUAGGAAUAAGCAUCGGCUAACUCCGUGCCAGCAGCCGCGGUAAUACGGAGGAUGCAAGCGUUAUCCGGAUUUAUUAGGUUUAAAGGGUGCGUAGGUGGGCGUUUAAGUCAGUGGUUAAAGCCAUUAGCUUAACUAAUGUAUGCCAUUGAUACUGGAUGUCUUGAAUGUGGUAGAGGUAGGCGGAAUGUGUUGUGUAGCGGUGAAAUGCUUAGAUAUAACACAGAACACCGAUUGCGUAGGCAGCUUACUAUUCCAUUAUUGACGCUGAUGCACGAAAGCGUGGGGAUCAAACAGGAUUAGAUACCCUGGUAGUCCACGCUGUAAACUAUGAUCACUCGUUUUUGGCGAUAUAUAGUCAGAGACUGAGCGAAAGC